RNAcentral lists this ribosomal RNA (549 nucleotides) under Triticum aestivum (bread wheat). RNAcentral describes it as "partial small subunit ribosomal RNA". Lineage: Eukaryota; Viridiplantae; Streptophyta; Magnoliopsida; Poales; Poaceae. The record is from RNAcentral.
AUGGAGACCCUCCCCUGUGAUUUUCGGGAGGGGAUGGAAACCCUACCUUGUGAGAUUCGUCAGGCGAUGGAGGUACUGAACAAGGAUAAGGCCGACCGGAUCCAGGAGAUUGCGGAGAAGCAGGCGAUCGAGAUGAUCCAAUGGUACUAUGAUAAGCUGAAGGAGAAGGAACCGGAUUCUUAUGAAGACUCGUCAUCGUCUGAUGACGAAGACUCGUGUGAGUCUGAUGAAGAUAGGUGUCGUCGUGACUGGAACCGUCUAUAUGCCGGUAUGUUCGGCUCCUUCGAUGAUUUCACUGCUAUCCCAGCCAUGCGUUACACGGAUAAGCCCGCGCCUCCCAACUUCGCCUGGGAGGAUGAUACUCUUCAGAUCUUUUCAAUCGAAGUCAUGGGAAUAGAGCAGCAAAAAUUAGAGUGGCCGCUAGGUGUGUUUGGUAUGGUUGCCGCACGCGACUCGCUGGAUCACGAUCGCUGGAUCACAAUCACAACAUUAUCUUCAGUCGUGAACGGGACAAUCGUCAGACCAUCAGUGAGGAGAGUCCCUAUCUAG